This is a long non-coding RNA of Ananas comosus (pineapple), 1147 nucleotides long. RefSeq lists it as uncharacterized. The record is from RefSeq and is a predicted model, not a curated record. Lineage: Eukaryota; Viridiplantae; Streptophyta; Magnoliopsida; Poales; Bromeliaceae. The transcript is spliced from 3 exons.
AUACUUCUCACUUCGGGUAGCUCCAAUAAGCCUUUACUCCAUUUCGGCCAAUACCAACAGCACAAAGUCCAUAUAAGCAUCAAACUUUAAGCAUCAAUUAGGUCACCCCUGCAUUUCGACAGCACCAGCAGCACCAACAAUAUCAACUUCUUGCUCUCAGCUGCAAGAAUUUCCAUAUGGUGAUCUUUUCCAAGGUAAUUAACCUAUAGAAGAAUAAGUACUAAUCAAGUUUACCUUGAUUAGUUGCUGUCCCAAGUUGUUCAGCAACUCCAGCAGCAAGAAUUCUUUGCCUUGCGGCUCUCUCUCAAGGCUGAAACAUCAAGGCCAUCAGCACCAAUGACACUUUAAUUUCUCUUCAGCAGCAGCCCCAACUCAGCAACACAUCAAUCCAGAAGCUCACAUCUGAAUUCGAAGCUCUCCAACAGCUUCCUUCUUUAACUCCGCAUGGUUUUCUUUUCAGCCACAAGUCUCCAAGGCUGUCAGCACCAAGUUCUUCAACUCUUCUUAGCUUAGAGAGAGAAGGAGAAGAAAAUAAAAGAUAAGGAAUGAAGAGAGAUGACCCUUCAGCAUCUGGACAUGUGUAUCCCACUAAGGGUGAAGAGAUAAUGCUGUAAAAUUGCACUUUGGCCCCUCAAAAUGCUGAAAUUGCAUUGCUGGACAAAUGCUGCCCGCAAUUGCUAUACCGGUACAAGAAUGUGUACCGGUACAGGACAGCAGCAGCAGCAGCAUCAACAGCUGCUUCGAUUCCUUGUUUCUCACUUCUAAUCCAUUCUAAUUUCAUUCCAACACUUCAAAAACAUUCCAAAUGAACAUCCCAAGCUAUCAAAUUAAUUUGGGAGCAAUUAAUUUCAAAUUUGCAUCAAUUUGCUCAUUUUGACCAAAUCGACUAAAAUUUCAACAUUCGAGUUACAAUGGCAAUUGGAUGUCUUUAGCCACUCCAAUUCCAUUCUUAUCUAUUCUCACAUUUCCAAAACCUGUCACUUGAUAUUCUCCAGCCACUAAUUAAGUUUAGAAAUACUCAAUUUCCAUUUUAGCAUUAUGGUGACCACUUUGAUCACAAUUAGCUUGUAAUCAAAAUUCAGCCUAUUACAUUUACGGUUUUAUUAGUGGAUUUCAGUGUUAUACUUAUCCCUCUGUUGUAAAACAU